CUCUAUUUCUUUUCCUAUUAUUUUCAGUGCAACAGAAGACAAGUAAACCUGAUCCUACACACUCCUGGCUCUUGUCAUUUCCUGCCCUAACCACUCAAUAUUUUGUCUGUGUGGAUCUUUUGUAAAAAUUAUCUUUUCUUCCUCUUCUCCUUACAUCAGUGACAUGUUCUGUUGGAAUUCAUUGGACAUGGAUACUGACAUUGUAUACCUAUUUGUUUAACUAAUAAAAUGAAAUACAAUGGUAA
This is a long non-coding RNA of Amphimedon queenslandica, 245 nucleotides long. RefSeq lists it as uncharacterized. The record is from RefSeq and is a predicted model, not a curated record. The transcript is spliced from 2 exons. Lineage: Eukaryota; Metazoa; Porifera; Demospongiae; Haplosclerida; Niphatidae.